RNAcentral lists this transfer-messenger RNA (219 nucleotides) under Escherichia coli. Its description in RNAcentral is "partial transfer-messenger RNA". It matches the Rfam family "transfer-messenger RNA", at positions 1 to 272 of the family's 374-position model. From Rfam's summary of the family: Bacterial tmRNA, also known as 10Sa RNA or SsrA, is named for its dual tRNA and mRNA-like properties. Its role is to liberate the mRNA from a stalled ribosome. The record is from RNAcentral. Lineage: Bacteria; Pseudomonadati; Pseudomonadota; Gammaproteobacteria; Enterobacterales; Enterobacteriaceae.
GGGGCUGAUUCUGGAUUCGACGGGAUUUGCGAAACCCAAGGUGCAUGCCGAGGGGCGGUUGGCCUCGUAAAAAGCCGCAAAAAAUAGUCGCAAACGACGGCGGAAUACAAACAGUUUCAGCUAACGGAGAGGCAAUAAAAACAAAGAUCAAUGAAGGCGGUACGCUGACAGUCAACGAUAAUGGCAAAGCGACAGAUAUCGUCCAGAACAGCGGUGCCG